RNAcentral lists this ribosomal RNA (1064 nucleotides) under Pseudomonas yamanorum. RNAcentral describes it as "bacterial SSU rRNA". It matches the Rfam family "Bacterial small subunit ribosomal RNA", at positions 37 to 1105 of the family's 1533-position model. Lineage: Bacteria; Pseudomonadati; Pseudomonadota; Gammaproteobacteria; Pseudomonadales; Pseudomonadaceae. The record is from RNAcentral.
UUCCUUAGGGGUUUACCAUGCAGUCGAGCGGUAGAGAGAAGCUUGCUUCUCUUGAGAGCGGCGGACGGGUGAGUAAUGCCUAGGAAUCUGCCUGGUAGUGGGGGAUAACGUUCGGAAACGGACGCUAAUACCGCAUACGUCCUACGGGAGAAAGCAGGGGACCUUCGGGCCUUGCGCUAUCAGAUGAGCCUAGGUCGGAUUAGCUAGUUGGUGGGGUAAUGGCUCACCAAGGCGACGAUCCGUAACUGGUCUGAGAGGAUGAUCAGUCACACUGGAACUGAGACACGGUCCAGACUCCUACGGGAGGCAGCAGUGGGGAAUAUUGGACAAUGGGCGAAAGCCUGAUCCAGCCAUGCCGCGUGUGUGAAGAAGGUCUUCGGAUUGUAAAGCACUUUAAGUUGGGAGGAAGGGCAGUAAAUUAAUACUUUGCUGUUUUGACGUUACCGACAGAAUAAGCACCGGCUAACUCUGUGCCAGCAGCCGCGGUAAUACAGAGGGUGCAAGCGUUAAUCGGAAUUACUGGGCGUAAAGCGCGCGUAGGUGGUUCGUUAAGUUGGAUGUGAAAUCCCCGGGCUCAACCUGGGAACUGCAUUCAAAACUGACGAGCUAGAGUAUGGUAGAGGGUGGUGGAAUUUCCUGUGUAGCGGUGAAAUGCGUAGAUAUAGGAAGGAACACCAGUGGCGAAGGCGACCACCUGGACUGAUACUGACACUGAGGUGCGAAAGCGUGGGGAGCAAACAGGAUUAGAUACCCUGGUAGUCCACGCCGUAACGAUGUCAACUAGCCGUUGGGAGCCUUGAGCUCUUAUGGCGCACUAACGCAUUAAGUUGACCGCCUGGUGAAUACCGUCGCAAGGUUAAACUCAAUGAAUUGACGGGGGCCCGCACUAGCCGUGGAGCAUGUGGAUUCAUUCCAAACAACGCGAAGACCCGUACCAGGACUAUGACAUCCCUGAACUUCCAGAGUAUCAUUGUUGCCUUCUGGGACUGUGAUACAGUGCUGCAGGAUUGUCGUUAACUCUGUCCUGAAAUGUCGGGGUAAGUCACUGUCACCAGGACAUUCUA